GAUAAACGCUGGCGGCGCACAUAAGACAUGCAAGUCGAACGGAAGUCGUUAUACUGAAUUAGAUAUGAACGGAGAACUUGUUCAAAGGGACUUGAAGAUGAUUUAUAACAAUGGCUUUAGUGGCGGACUGGUGAGUAACACGUAAGCAACCUGCCUAUCAGAGGGGAACAACAGUUAGAAAUGACUGCUAAUACCGCAUAUGCCUUGAAUAUCACAUGAUAUAAAAGGGAAAGGAGCAAUCCGCUGAUAGAUGGGCUUGCGUCUGAUUAGAUAGUUGGUGGGGUAACGGCCUACCAAGUCGACGAUCAGUAGCCGGACUGAGAGGUUGAACGGCCACAUUGGGACUGAGAUACGGCCCAGACUCC
This 365-nucleotide ribosomal RNA is filed under the name uncultured Oscillospiraceae bacterium. RNAcentral's name for it is "bacterial SSU rRNA". It matches the Rfam family "Bacterial small subunit ribosomal RNA", at positions 28 to 339 of the family's 1533-position model. The record is from RNAcentral. Lineage: Bacteria; Bacillati; Bacillota; Clostridia; Eubacteriales; Oscillospiraceae.